Molecule: long non-coding RNA, 207 nt
Organism: Penaeus monodon (black tiger shrimp)
Lineage: Eukaryota; Metazoa; Arthropoda; Malacostraca; Decapoda; Penaeidae
Exons: 2
Source: RefSeq, a predicted model, not a curated record
UUUACAGUACCUCUACUUAAAUCUUCUCGGACGAUUCACUCAUGAGUUUAGAUGAAUGGGUCCCUUUAAUACAGAAGCACAUCCACUUCCUAUAGCUGGCAAAAACUCAUUUUACCGGAAAGUUCAAGAAUCCGAGAACCAGUGGUAAGACAUCGAAACGAGACUUUUGAGGAAGCUUCACUGUCACUAAUAAACAGUGGAAUGUGA